AGAGAAGUACCCAAGUGGCUCAAGGGGCUCCCCUGCUAAGGGAGUAGGUCGGGUAACCGGCGCGAGGGUUCGAAUCCCUUCUUCUCUG
The sequence is a transfer RNA, 88 nucleotides long. It matches the Rfam family "tRNA". From Rfam's summary of the family: Transfer RNA (tRNA) molecules are approximately 80 nucleotides in length. Their secondary structure includes four short double-helical elements and three loops (D, anti-codon, and T loops). The record is from Rfam.